This is a long non-coding RNA of Callithrix jacchus (white-tufted-ear marmoset), 2253 nucleotides long. The record is from Ensembl. NCBI's taxonomy places the organism in Eukaryota, Metazoa, Chordata, Mammalia, Primates, Cebidae.
AUGCAAGCAAGGUCCAGUGACCUAAGCAGUGGUCCGAGCAGCGGUGAGGCAGGGGCACUAGGGUGGCAAUAUCAACGGCGACUUUCAUCCUCUACCUGGGAGAACUUGCCUUCCGUGAAGGUUAACGGGUGCAGAUGGAGGCUUGCUCUGUCGCCAGACUGGAGUGCAGUGGUGCGAUCUCGGCUCACUGCAACCUCCACCUCCUGGGUUCAAGUGAUUCUCCUGCCUCAGCCUCCCAACUAGCUGGGACUACAGGUACAAACUAUGAGGAAAAUACAAGAGGAAAUCCCAAGAUGAACUUUUUCAAUUUUCUUUCCUUUAAUUUCUUUUUUCACAAAUAAAAUUAGUGUUAAAGCCUCUAGAAGAAAAUCAGUACUGUUCACAUUCUGUUUAGGUAAGUCAAAUGAUAUACAUAUUUAUAUAGAAACCAAAGUUCAUGUUACUAUGACUAUAUGACUAUUUUUCACACUAGAAUUUCAAAGGAUCUUAGACUAUUUUUCAAAUAGAUGCAAAUUUAGGUAGGUGCAACACUCAGAGGUAAAACAUAAAUGGGGUUGUCUGGUUACUGAGCUGAAGAAUUACAUUUUAAAAAAUUAUUUGAAAAAUUAUCAGAUCCAAGUUAAAAUGUACAAAAAGGAUCUUUAAAAACAUUGUCAGAAGUAUGAAAACCAGACAAAACAUUUGACAAGUAAAAGAAAACUUGAGCUAUAACCCAUACAAACCUCCCUGCUGCCAUAAAAUUCCCAGCCAGCACAAGAUAACAAGAUUCCAUUCUUGUGAUGUACGGGAUGGAAUUAAUACAUAUCAAAGAAAACAAUGGUUUCUGGUUAGUGAAGGUGCAAUGUAAAAUUUAUAAAGAUUAUGUUACCUUAACUGGCAAAUAAUAUGCAUGAGGUUUAAUCCACUCUGAACUUACCAAGUAUGUAGUGCUAGGUCCUACGGGUCUGUAAAAGGCAUCCUUUCCUAGCUGUGUUAGUUAAUGUGCAAAACAGUAAGCCAGAAACUAAGAAGUAGAAAAUAGUCACCCAUGCUUUCUCCACACCAAUAUAAAAUGACCUAAGCUACAUGGAAUAAAAUAAAAGAUUAAAACAUAAAGACACACCUAUUAGAAAAUAAAAACAUAUUAGUGAACUUUACAAACGUUACCAUCAGAAUAAGAGUAUGCUCUCUUGAAGGAAGUGGUAACACUGGCUUCUCAGGUAAGCCUAAGUAAGGAGACAUGGUAUCAGAGAAAAGGCAGUCAGAGAGCAGAAAGCUUUGUUUCAUUCAUUUGAGAAACAUACACUGAGUGCCUAAGUAUAGAUCUUGGUAAUGUAUGUGAAAAAAAUAUUUUUAAAAAGUUAAAAGAGGUUAUUUCAUGACCUAUUCUAAGUUUUGCAUUUGACAGGUAGAAUUAAAUAGUGUCAAGGUUUGGAUAUAAUGAUAUUUUUAAAACUAUCUUUAGUUUUUAUCCUUUUUAGAGAUAUAAGAAAAUUAAAAUGGUAAUAUAAAACAAUUGGUGAACUAAGCUGAGCUAAAAGCAAUUUAUGGAAGAAAAAUGGGUAGUAUUGUUUAUAUAUGCAUGUGGGUAUUUGUGUGGGCGCAUAUGUGUAUUUGUGUUGAAGGAGCAGCCUCCAGAUUGAUUAUCUUAAAGAAGUGCAGUAGAUCACCCUGUGUCCUCUAUCUUCCAUACCUCCUAACAGCUGCUCUUCAGCUGCCAGUUUUCUAGGUUAUUUGGCCACAUUUUUCUGCGAGAGGAGAGUCUUUUAUAAAAUGCCUUAUUUAGUUUCCUCAAAUACAGACUUCCUAGGAAACGUCACAGAUCGUGUGUUUUGGUUUAUGAGUUCAAAGGAAAAUUACUUUGAUUGCUAGAUCAAAAUUUUCAAUCUGAGGCACAGUGAAUAAUUAUACUUAAAAAGUUGAGCAUCACUUCUACUAGUGGUACUUAUAAUGCAUAAAAUGUUGUAUAAAUAAAUACAAAGUGUUUUAUGUGUAGCAAGUCUGAUGACUUAUAUAGAAUAAAAUUUAGUUAAACAUUUUACAUCUAAUUUUCAAAGUAAUUAUGCUGAGUGGAGGAAGCCAGGCAAAAAGGAAUGGAUGUUGCCUGAUUACACUUACAUAAAAUUAAAGACAAUGCAAAAUAAUUAUAAUGAGAGAAAGUACAUCAGUGGCUGCCAGGGAGAGAAGGAAAGGAAGACAGCAAGAGAGAGAGAGAGAGAAAAGAAAGGAGAGAGAUGACAAAAGAGACAAUGAAACUUUUGGGGUGCCAGAAAU